RNAcentral lists this long non-coding RNA (1245 nucleotides) under Physcomitrium patens. RNAcentral's name for it is "long non-coding RNA (PPAT_LNC012564)". Lineage: Eukaryota; Viridiplantae; Streptophyta; Bryopsida; Funariales; Funariaceae. The record is from RNAcentral.
AAAAAAAAAAAAAAAAAAAAAAUCUAAAUCAACGAUCAUAAUUCAAAAUGCAAUAGCUUAAUCAAAGUAAAAGAAAAUACUCUGAAACCUAACUGUAAACUAUUUAAUGAUCUAUUACAGUAAUUUAAUAACUGAAUGCUUCCAUUGAAAAAGCAGUGAAUCUUCCAUGGGAUUGUGCAACUUCCAGUGAAACACAAUAAAACAUAAUAUUAUCUUUAACAAAAGAAUUAAGUUCUAAAAAUGUUUCAUUUAUAAAAAUUCUACGACUUAAUCUUCAAUUGGACAUAAUAAAUAUUAUUUUGAUAGAAUGCAAAAUAUAAAACCUAAUUGAAUGGAUAUUUACCGGUUAAUACACGUAAAACAACACUUAAUAACAUUACUAGUUGUGUGUUUCAAAAUGAAUGUCUCAUUAAUUUAUCUUGAUAUUUAGUUUCAAAUGAUUUAUUAAUAUUUUUUUGCUUCAAGACUGAUUGUCUUGUAUGUUUCAAACAUAAUAAGAAACCCGUUUCUUCUAUUGAUUGUGAUGCAGAAUAAAACCAUCACAAAUUUUUUUUUUGCUAAUUGAGCAUAAUUUUCUUUAUUUAUUUUUAAAUGUAAUAUAACAUAUUCAAAAUAGAUAUCACAUUGUAUAUAAUAUUGUCAUGAAAUUUUCAUUAUUAGAAUCUUGUAAUAUAUUACCUUUGUUUAAAGUGCCAAUGAUGCAAUAAAAUUAAGGACAAUAAUUUAUUGAUUCUGAAAGUGAGGCUGUUUGUUGAGGUUAAUGUUGGAUUUAAUUUUUAAUUUUUAAUUUUCUUCUAAAUGGUGUUUAACUAAAAUCUGCACAAACUAUAGCAACCAAGUAAAUUUGAAAGUAGCAAGAGUUGAUAUUUUUCUACAGUGUUUGAAUUCUUUGUGUAACCAACCACCAAACAUAAUGUUUGAAGUGUUGUUUUUCCAUAUAGAAAAACAAAUGCAAUUAAUAUUUUGCACAAGUUUGACAUGUAUUACUUCAAAAGCACAUUGUUAUGACAUACAUAACAAGAAACAAUCAGUGUUUGUUCAUCACAAUCCUGCAUUUAUUGACUGUUUCUAUUAAUGUAGAAGACAAGUCACUUGUUUGGUCUUAUUCCAAUUGACAACCUUUCCACAUCUUGCAAUGAAUUAGAACUACACUUACCUUCUUCAUCAUGUCAUGCCUUCAAUACACUCUUUUUACUCAAACCUUGUAUACUGCGGUAUAAAAUUUUGACUUAUUGAUUGAUUGAU